This 3614-nucleotide long non-coding RNA is filed under the name Mytilus galloprovincialis (Mediterranean mussel). Lineage: Eukaryota; Metazoa; Mollusca; Bivalvia; Mytilida; Mytilidae. The record is from RNAcentral.
ACUGUUCCCCGAACCCUUGUGUCCAUGGCUCAUGUAGGAACAAUCCCUCUGGACACAGUUGUGUCUGUCAAACUGGGUAUAUAGGCACCAGAUGUGAAAAAGGUACGGAAUGUAAUGGAAAAAACAUUUUCAAGAAAAAGACAAACUUAAAAUUUAAUAUCUAUUCUAUAUACAUAUCUUUGUAAUGCUUAUUUUGUUCACAAUGCAAUAAACUUAAACUAAAAGCGUACCUGAAAGACAAGUAGUAAUAUUACUACGAAUAGCAACUGUUUAUAAUUAAAUAUUAGAUAAAAAAACACAUAUGAUGUGCAAGAUCAAGACAGACAAUGCUUGGUAACACGAAGGUCAGUUAACAAUUCAUCACAUGAACACAAACAUAGAAAAAAAAGCCUUCUGUUGCCAUCUUAAAUAAAAUAAAAUAAUCCAAAAAGUUCAUAGCUGUGCUAAACAAUAUUGUAUAGUAGAAUCAUGAGUAGUCUAAAUAAACUCAUCUGUGAACCCAGACUUCAAUUUUGAAAGCCAGGCAGUUAAUAUUACAUACCAACUUGGUAUGUGUCAAAUCAUGUGCGAUAAACCGUUGCUCUAUAUUACUACGUUUAACUGAAAAGGGUCAAAACAGUUUACCAGCGGAUUCUUCCAUAUUUUGAUAACCGAAGAUGACAAAUAAGUAAAAGUGAUACAGAUAUUAUAUGAAUAAUAAUCACAUCACCUUCACUACAUUUUAUGUUUAAAGAAAGACUACGCGUACAUCUUCAGUCAAAAUAUUCAUGAGACAACUUAUAGAAUGUAUUGUUCGUUGGAGAUAUCAACAGAAUGUAACUCUCAUAGUAAUCUAUUACUUUAUUUUUUUUUAUUUUUGCAGUUUUAGAUCGUAAGUAUAUCUAUCCAUGACUUAACUUGUGUGUAAGUUGCUUGAUUUUGAAUAUUCAUCAAAUGGUUUAAAUUUAUAAAAAAGGGUUUUUCAUACCAAUAUCAAAACUCAAAUCAUUACUUUUAGAGGCAAACAACACUUUAGUUAUUGAUACAAAUUUUUCCAAGUACAGAUUGGUUACUAUUAGUAUGGACAUUGCUAACCAUAUGAUAUUCGAUAAAGGCAACACUAGUAUAACGCUGGUCGAAAGUUACAAAAUAAAGUUGAGGGAAAUACAUCAAAUAUAAGAGAAAAACAACAUAACAACAUUUGCGUAAUAAGUGGAUUUCACUGUUGGCUCUCAAUAUUAGCAAUAAUUUUCACAAAAGUACUGCACAGAAAACUACAGAUAAAGCUAAACAUUAAGUUUCUUAUGCCUACCGAACUCAUGGUAUCCGAAUUGUUUUCAACCAUAAAAGGGAGUUGGAGGCUUUGUUUCCGUUGAUUUUACAUCCAAAACUCUAGACUGUUCGUGUUUAUGGUCCGCAUACACAUAUUAUCCCACUUAUACAGGGUGAUAAGUAAACUCAUCAUAGAUACUUCGCUUAAAAUAUUGUACAAAAAGACGCACAUUUCGUCAUCUGUAAUGCUCGAAUAGAAAAAGUAAAAAGGUAAAGUAUGAGAAGUAGAGCCCAGUAAAGUUCGAAGUUGAAGAGCAAUAAAAACUCUAAGAUUCGAAAGAUGUUGCCAAAAACAGAAAAAAAUUAUUCUUUUUGGGGGGAUAGAACAUCCUUAAUAUUUGAAAAACAUUUAAGUUUUCAAGUUAGUUGAUUUAUAGUUAUGAUCAUAUGAAUAAAUUGAAUACAUUUGUUAUAUAGUUUGUCAACACAUUAUAAUACGAAUUAGUGAUUUUCUACAGAAUCAUCUCGUAAAUGAUUUGAGGAUAUAUGUGAGAUUCCCAUUGUUGUUUUGAAAGUUCUUGUAUUACCUAUUCUAAAUAGAGUCAAUAAGUCGUGCCUAGAGUAUGAAGCAUCACAAGGGCUUAUGGACAGCGUUAGAAACCCGUGUGCUUAUGGUUUUUUGUAGUUGCAAUUCUAAAUGCAUUACCAAAACGUUUUGUUCGAUUUAGAUAGUUCAUGUUUUCUAUGUAGAUUCAUUUGACUUGACUGUAAAUCAUUCUCAUGGUUAGUCCUUCUCUGCACAAAUCAGGAAACUAAAACUCUUCUUCCAGUUGAUAAAAUCAAAUUUUCCGGCCUUUAGAUUAAAUCUCUUCAAUUUUAUUUGAUUCUCCCAAAGAUAUAAAUAAGAUUAGCUGUUUUUGAAAAACUUUUCGAAAUUUUGGUUCCACAAUUCUCUUCAAUUUUGUAAUUGACUUAACAAUGUGAACCUUUUUUACUCUUUUUCUUUCGAGCUGCACUAAAGAGUCUUUUUUAACGAAUUGUGCGUCUGGCGUACAAAAUUGUAAAUCUGGUAUCUAUUGUUAGUUUGUUACCUUUUGAACUGUCAUGAAAUAUAAUUGGUUUUUUCAACACAUAGGAAAAUACAACGGUUACCAGAUUUGAAACAAUAUUACGUUUAUUAGCAUCAAUUGUUCUGCAGCAGAUGUUCAUUUGAGGUCGAAAUAUUUUAAAAUUUGAAUUUUUAGUUUCUCUUUUUUGUUAUUGAUUUUGUUUAACGACUUUGAAUCGACUGCCACUACACAUCUCAUGAAGACGAUACACGUCUGGUCACUAAUUGAAAGCUUAGUUUCUUAAUUUAUUUUCAAACAAAAAGUAAAAAUACAAAAAUACUGAACUCCGAGGAAAAUUCAAAAAGGAAAAAUCCAAAAUCAAAAGGCAAAAUUGAUUGAACCUGGUGUUAUAGCUAGCUAAACGUCUCACUUGUAUGACAGUGGUAUCAAAUUCCAUUACAUUGUCAACGAUGCAUGAACAAAACAAACAUACUCAAAGAGUAAAAAAUGUCAAAAAUAGGAGUACAGCAGUCAAUAUUGUGUUAUCAUCUUAAUAUCACUAUAAAAACAACAAAUGUAACGAAGAAGCACAAAAAGGCAUACAUCAAAUUAACAUACUCAUUUUGUUUUUCUUAUACGACUUAAUUUAUCUAUGUAAAGUCUACCAAUAAAGGAUAGAAGGUUUUCAGUGGUUCAAAUUAUGACGGAAUACAUAAGUACAGUUUCACGUCAAAUGUAUAUCAUAAAAAUCAGACUUAACAGAAAAAGUAGUAUUAUUGAAUAAAAUAGUUUUGUCAUUCAUAGUAUGUGAAGAUCCAUAAGUAAAAGUAAUAUUAAUAAAUGAAAUAAUUUUGUCGUUCAAAGUAUGAUGUUUUACAUAACCACAGAGUCACUAAAAAAAAAGAAUAUCUAAAAAAACUGACUUAACAGUACAAGUAAUAUUAAAAAAAAAACUUUAUGAACAUAUUUUAAAUUUCUGGUUUUCGUAGUAAAUUUAUCUAAUUUCUUAUAACUGCAUGGAGAAGAUACCAUACAUAACUAUUUUAUGUGUGUUCUAUUGUACCUGGAUCUACACAAAAAAUAUCUUUCUUUCUCGUUGAAAUGAGUGGAAGAAAAUCCAUGUUAUGAAUAAUAUAUGGACUUAAACAUGUUUUCCUUUUUUCUCUUGAGAGAUAUUUCAGCACCAUUAUAACAUUAUAUUUUUAGAUUGUAAAACAAACGUAUGUGGAAGACAUGGUGCAUGUGUCAACAGCCUGACAGGGUACGCAUGUCGAUGUUAUACAGGAUAUACCGGAGCGGCAUGUCAAAAUGGUA